This 709-nucleotide ribosomal RNA is filed under the name Lactiplantibacillus plantarum. RNAcentral describes it as "bacterial SSU rRNA". It matches the Rfam family "Bacterial small subunit ribosomal RNA", at positions 188 to 901 of the family's 1533-position model. Lineage: Bacteria; Bacillati; Bacillota; Bacilli; Lactobacillales; Lactobacillaceae. The record is from RNAcentral.
GCAUGGUCCGAGUUUGAAAGAUGGCUUCGGCUAUCACUUUUGGAUGGUCCCGCGGCGUAUUAGCUAGAUGGUGGGGUAACGGCUCACCAUGGCAAUGAUACGUAGCCGACCUGAGAGGGUAAUCGGCCACAUUGGGACUGAGACACGGCCCAAACUCCUACGGGAGGCAGCAGUAGGGAAUCUUCCACAAUGGACGAAAGUCUGAUGGAGCAACGCCGCGUGAGUGAAGAAGGGUUUCGGCUCGUAAAACUCUGUUGUUAAAGAAGAACAUAUCUGAGAGUAACUGUUCAGGUAUUGACGGUAUUUAACCAGAAAGCCACGGCUAACUACGUGCCAGCAGCCGCGGUAAUACGUAGGUGGCAAGCGUUGUCCGGAUUUAUUGGGCGUAAAGCGAGCGCAGGCGGUUUUUUAAGUCUGAUGUGAAAGCCUUCGGCUCAACCGAAGAAGUGCAUCGGAAACUGGGAAACUUGAGUGCAGAAGAGGACAGUGGAACUCCAUGUGUAGCGGUGAAAUGCGUAGAUAUAUGGAAGAACACCAGUGGCGAAAGCGGCUGUCUGGUCUGUAACUGACGCUGAGGCUCGAAAGUAUGGGUAGCAACACGAUUAGAUACCCUGGUAGUCCAUACCGUAACGAUGAUGCUAGUGUGAGGUUUCGCCCUCAGUGCUGCAGCUACGCAUAGCAUCGCCUGGGAGUACCGCGCAGCUGAACU